UACGUAGGGGGCAAGCGUUGUCCGGAUUUAUUGGGCGUAAAGAGCGUGUAGGCGGAUGGGCAAGUCUGCUGUGAAAGCUCCUGGCUUAACCGGGAGUGGUCGGUGGAAACUGCCAAUCUGGAGGACGGUAGAGGUAGGUAGAAUUCCCGGUGUAGUGGUGAAAUGCGUAGAGAUCGGGAAGAACAUCGGUGGCGAAGGCGCUCUACUGGACCACAACUGACACUCAGGGACGAAAGCUAGGGGAGCGAAUGGG
This 253-nucleotide ribosomal RNA is filed under the name uncultured bacterium. RNAcentral's name for it is "partial 16S ribosomal RNA". It matches the Rfam family "Bacterial small subunit ribosomal RNA", at positions 524 to 776 of the family's 1533-position model. The record is from RNAcentral.